This 1715-nucleotide ribosomal RNA is filed under the name Ricinoididae sp. WW-1999. Its description in RNAcentral is "SSU rRNA". It matches the Rfam family "Eukaryotic small subunit ribosomal RNA". Lineage: Eukaryota; Metazoa; Arthropoda; Arachnida; Ricinulei; Ricinoididae. The record is from RNAcentral.
UCAUAUGCUUGUCUCAAAGAUUAAGCCAUGCAUGUCUAAGUACAUGCCUCAGUAAGGUGAAACCGCGAAUGGCUCAUUAAAUCAGUUAUGGUUCCUUAGAUCGUACCAUUUUACUUGGAUAACUGUGGUAAUUCUAGAGCUAAUACAUGCAGAUAGAGCUCCGACCUUCGGGGACGAGCGCUUUUAUUAGACCAAGGCCAAUCGGACUACGUCCGUCACCCAUGGCGACUCUGGAUAACUUUGGGCUGAUCGCACGGUCUCGCACCGGCGACGCAUCUUUCAAGUGUCUGCCUUAUCAACUGUCGAUGGUAGGUUAUGCGCCUACCAUGGUCGUAACGGGUAACGGGGAAUCAGGGUUCGAUUCCGGAGAGGGAGCCUGAGAAACGGCUACCACAUCCAAGGAAGGCAGCAGGCGCGCAAAUUACCCACUCCCGGCACGGGGAGGUAGUGACGAAAAAUAACAAUACGGGACUCUAACGAGGCCCCGUAAUUGGAAUGAGUACACUCUAAAUCCUUUAACGAUGAUCUAUUGGAGGGCAAGUCUGGUGCCAGCAGCCGCGGUAAUUCCAGCUCCAAUAGCGUAUAUUAAAGUUGCUGCGGUUAAAAAGCUCGUAGUUGGAUCUCAGUUCCAGACUGGUGGUCCACCGCCCGGCGUACUGCCAGGCCUGAACAUUUUACCGGUUUUCCCUCGGUGCUCUUCAUUGAGUGUCUUGGGUGACCGAUACGUUUACUUUGAAAAAAUUAGAGUGCUCAAAGCAGGCGUGACCUAAUAAUGGUGCAUGGAAUAAUGGAAUAGGACCUCGGUUCUAUUUGGUUGGUUUUCGGAACACGAGGUAAUGAUUAAGAGGGACAGACGGGGGCAUUCGUAUUGCGACGCUAGAGGUGAAAUUCUUGGACCGUCGCAAGACGAACUACUGCGAAAGCAUUUGCCAAGAAUGUUUUCAUUAAUCAAGAACGAAAGUUAGAGGUUCGAAGGCGAUCAGAUACCGCCCUAGUUCUAACCAUAAACGAUGCCAACCAGCGAUCCGCCUGAGUUCCACAAAUGACUCGGCGGGCAGCUUCCGGGAAACCAAAGUGUUUGGGUUCCGGGGGAAGUAUGGUUGCAAAGCUGAAACUUAAAGGAAUUGACGGAAGGGCACCACCAGGAGUGGAGCCUGCGGCUUAAUUUGACUCAACACGGGAAAACUUACCCGGCCCGGACACCGGAAGGAUUGACAGAUUAAGAGCUCUUUCUUGAUUCGGUGGGUGGUGGUGCAUGGCCGUUCUUAGUUGGUGGAGCGAUUUGUCUGGUUAAUUCCGAUAACGAACGAGACUCUAGCCUACUAAAUAGGCGACCGAUCUCAGUCGUCGGUCGAUCUUCUUAGAGGGACAAGCGGCGUUUAGCCGCACGAGACAGAGCAAUAACAGGUCUGUGAUGCCCUUAGAUGUCCGGGGCCGCACGCGCGCUACACUGAAGGAAUCAGCGUGUGUUUGCCCCUGUCCGGCAGGACUGGGUAACCCGAUGAACCUCCUUCGUGAUAGGGAUAGGGGCUUGUAAUUAUUCCCCUUGAACGAGGAAUUCCCAGUAAGCGCGAGUCAUAAGCUCGCGUUGAUUACGUCCCUGCCCUUUGUACACACCGCCCGUCGCUACUACCGAUUGAAUGAUUUAGUGAGGUCUUCGGACUGGCGGUGGGUGCGGCUCCCGGGGGCGCCCUCNCGNGUUAAAUNUGACCAAG